UACGGGAGGCAGCAGUGGGGAAUAUUGCACAAUAGGCGCAAGCCUGAUGCAGCCAUGCCGCGUGUAUGAAGAAGGCCUUCGGGUUGUAAAGUACUUUCAGUCGUGAGGAAGGUGUUAAGGUUAAUAACCUUAGCAAUUGACGUUAGCGACAGAAGAAGCACCGGCUAACUCCGUGCCAGCAGCCGCGGUAAUACGGAGGGUGCGAGCGUUAAUCGGAAUUACUGGGCGUAAAGGGCACGCAGGCGGUUAAUUAAGUUGGAUGUGAAAUCCCCGGGCUUAACCUGGGAAUGGCAUUCAAGACUGGUUAGCUAGAGUCUUGUAGAGGGGGUGAAUUCCAUGUGUAGCGGUGAAAUGCGUAGAGAUGUGGAGGAAUACCGGUGGCGAAGGCGGCCCCUGGACAAAGGCUGACGCUCAUGUGCGAAAGCGUGGGGAGCGAAACAGGGAUUAGAUACC
Molecule: ribosomal RNA, 453 nt
Filed under: uncultured bacterium
Lineage: Bacteria
Description: bacterial SSU rRNA
Rfam family: Bacterial small subunit ribosomal RNA
Source: RNAcentral